Molecule: ribosomal RNA, 301 nt
Filed under: uncultured bacterium
Lineage: Bacteria
Description: partial 16S ribosomal RNA
Rfam family: Bacterial small subunit ribosomal RNA
Source: RNAcentral
CAGUAGCCGCGGGAAUACGUAGGGUGCGAGCGUUAAUCGGAAUUACUGGGCGUAAAGCGUGCGCAGGCGGUUGUGUAAGACAGGUGUGAAAUCCCCGGGCUUAACCUGGGAACUGCGCUCGUGACUGCACAGCUAGAGUAUGGCAGAGGGGGGUGGAAUUCCACGUGUAGCAGUGAAAUGCGUAGAGAUGUGGAGGAACACCGAUGGCGAAGGCAGCCCCCUGGGCCAAUACUGACGCUCAUGCACGAAAGCGUGGGGAGCAAACAGGAUUAGAUACCCGCGUAGUCCCUGUCUCUUAUAC